Molecule: transfer RNA, 68 nt
Filed under: Jannaschia faecimaris
Lineage: Bacteria; Pseudomonadati; Pseudomonadota; Alphaproteobacteria; Rhodobacterales; Roseobacteraceae
Description: tRNA_Met_CAT
Rfam family: tRNA
About the family: Transfer RNA (tRNA) molecules are approximately 80 nucleotides in length.
Source: RNAcentral
AUGGAGCAGCUCGGUAGCUCGUCAGGCUCAUAACCUGAAGGUCGUAGGUUCAAAUCCUACUCCCGCAA